GAUGAACGCUGGCGGCGUGCUUAACACAUGCAAGUCGAACGAGAAAUGGUGUCUGAAACCUUCGGGCGGAAGGCUUCUUGUCGAGUGGCGGACGGUGGAGUAACGCGUGUGUAUCCUGCCGUAUAUAGGGGGAUAACAGUUGGAAACGACUGUUAAUGUCGUAUAAGACCACAGCACCGCAUGGUGCUGGGUUUAUACCUCCGGUGGUAUGAGGUGGACCCGCGUUCGAUUAGCCAGUUGGUGGGGUAACGGCCCACCAAAGCGACGAUCGAUAGCCGAUCUGAGAGGAUGACCGGCCACAUUGGGACUGACACACGGCCCACACACCUACGGGAGGCAGCAGUGGGGAAUAUUGCACAAUGGGGGAACACCUGAUGCAGCGACGCCGCGUGAGUGAAGAAGUACUUCGGUAUAAAAAACUCUAUCAGCAGGGAAGAAAAUGACGGUACCUGAGUAAGAAGCCCCGGCUAACUACGUG
RNAcentral lists this ribosomal RNA (478 nucleotides) under uncultured bacterium. Its description in RNAcentral is "partial 16S ribosomal RNA". It matches the Rfam family "Bacterial small subunit ribosomal RNA", at positions 28 to 507 of the family's 1533-position model. The record is from RNAcentral.